Molecule: unclassified non-coding RNA, 204 nt
Filed under: Zea mays
Lineage: Eukaryota; Viridiplantae; Streptophyta; Magnoliopsida; Poales; Poaceae
Description: misc RNA Zm00001eb284470
Source: RNAcentral
UUGCACAGGAUUAGUCGUCUUGUGUCUUCAACAUUACGAAGUGAUGAUGGCCUUCUUUUUCCUGAAAGGAUGAUGACUAUCUUGCUCCUAUCCAAGCUGAUCGAGAAAAAGACAAAGAACCAUAAAAUAUCUGUUUGGAAGGGACGAGAUUUGAAGGUGAUGAGGCUCCUUAAAGAAGGUUUAAUGGAACAAAUAUUAGCAUAA